Molecule: ribosomal RNA, 468 nt
Filed under: uncultured bacterium
Lineage: Bacteria
Description: partial 16S ribosomal RNA
Rfam family: Bacterial small subunit ribosomal RNA
Source: RNAcentral
GACGAACGCUGGCGGCGUGCUUAACACAUGCAAGUCGAACGGAAAGGCCCUGCUUUUGUGGGGUGCUCGAGUGGCGAACGGGUGAGUAACACGUGAGUAACCUGCCCUUGACUUUGGGAUAACUUCAGGAAACUGGGGCUAAUACCGGAUAGGAGCUCCUGCUGCAUGGUGGGGGUUGGAACGUUUCGGCGGUUGGGGAUGGACUCGCGGCUUAUCAGCUUGUUGGUGGGGUAGGGGCUUACCAAGGCUUUGGCGGGUAGCCGGCAUGAGAGGGUGACCGGCCACAUUGGGACUGAGAUACGGCCCAGACUGCUACGGGGGGCAGCAGGGGGGAAUAUUGCACAAUGGGCGGAAGCCUGAUGCGGCAACGCCGCGGGCGGGAUGACGGCCUUCGGGUUGUGAACCGCUUUCGCCUGUGACGAAGCGUGAGUGACGGUAAUGGGUAAAGAAGCACCGGCUAACUACGUG